CACGGGGGGAGCAAGCGUUGUUCGGAAUCACUGGGCGUAAAGGGCGUGUAGGCGGUCGAGUAAGUGGAAUGUGAAAUGCCCCGGCUCACCCGGGGACCUGCAUUCCAAACUGCUCGGCUCGAGUAUGGGAGAGGAUGAGGGAAUUCCUGGUGUAGCGGUGAAAUGCGUAGAUAAUCAGGAGGAACACCGGUGGCGAAAGCGCUCAUCUGGCCCAAUACUGACGCUGAGGCGCGAAAGCUAGGGGAGCAAAACGGG
RNAcentral lists this ribosomal RNA (255 nucleotides) under uncultured bacterium. Its description in RNAcentral is "partial 16S ribosomal RNA". It matches the Rfam family "Bacterial small subunit ribosomal RNA", at positions 524 to 777 of the family's 1533-position model. The record is from RNAcentral.